This 236-nucleotide long non-coding RNA is filed under the name Setaria italica (foxtail millet). RNAcentral describes it as "long non-coding RNA (SITA_LNC007333)". The record is from RNAcentral. Lineage: Eukaryota; Viridiplantae; Streptophyta; Magnoliopsida; Poales; Poaceae.
UCUCCUCUUCCAGGGAUAAGGGCAUUCAGAAACUUCAUAUAAUCAGAAGAGUUGGUCAAGUUUCGGCGCACGCUUAGCUGUUGCCAAUUGAGAUUACAAAUUUGGUGCUCGUCUGAAAGUUUGUGCGCGUAGCUGUUGCCACUCCAAAUUGUGAUGCUCCUUAUCUGAAAGCCACUCGCAUUCUUCGUAGUCACGCCGUGGUGAUGCAAAGGCAUACGCAUCAUAAUGCAUAAACA